Camellia sinensis is the source of this 339-nucleotide non-coding RNA. The record is from RefSeq and is a predicted model, not a curated record. NCBI's taxonomy places the organism in Eukaryota, Viridiplantae, Streptophyta, Magnoliopsida, Ericales, Theaceae.
GGAGAAGGGAAAUCUUGGGGUGCCUCAGUUACCAGGACAAGGAUGUUCAUUUCACAGCUUUCGUACCAAUACGUACAAACUCAGUUUUAUGGAGAGUCCAUCUGGUAUAAAGAUCAUUCUCGUCACUCAUCCCAGGACUGGUGAUCUAAGGGAUUCCCUGAAGUAUAUUUACAAUUUGUAAGUUGAAUAGGUUGUCAAGAAUCCACUCUAUAGUCCAGGAACUCCAAUCAGGUGAGUGAUAUAUAUUUUCUAUCUUAUUUUUAUCAUUGUGAAACACUUAUAUGAUGACCUAUUAGCUAAGGGUUUUAAAUGCUGCAUGACACCUCGGAGAUUUUCUAU